CCUACGGGAGGCAGCAGUGGGGAAUUUUGGACAAUGGGGGCAACCCUGAUCCAGCAAUGCCGCGUGAGUGAAGAAGGCCCUCGGGUUGUAAAGCUCUUUUGUCAGGGAAGAAACGGUCUACUCUAAUACAGUGGGCUAAUGACGGUACCUGAAGAAUAAGCACCGGCUAACUACGUGCCAGCAGCCGCGGUAAUACGUAGGGUGCAAGCGUUAAUCGGAAUUACUGGGCGUAAAGCGUGCGCAGGCGGUUUUAUAAGACAGAGGUGAAAUCCCCGGGCUCAACCUGGGAACUGCCUUUGUGACUGUAAGGCUAGAGUGUGUCAGAGGGGGGUAGAAUUCCACGUGUAGCAGUGAAAUGCGUAGAUAUGUGGAGGAAUACCGAUGGCGAAGGCAGCCCCCUGGGAUAACACUGACGCUCAUGCACGAAAGCGUGGGGAGCAAACAGGAUUAGAUACCCUGGUAGUCCACGCCCUAAACGAUGUCUACUAGUUGUCGGGACUUAAUUGUCUUGGUAACGCAGCUAACGCGUGAAGUAGACCGCCUGGGGAGUACGGUCGCAAGAUUAAAACUUAAAGGAAUUGACGG
This 585-nucleotide ribosomal RNA is filed under the name uncultured bacterium. Its description in RNAcentral is "bacterial SSU rRNA". It matches the Rfam family "Bacterial small subunit ribosomal RNA", at positions 338 to 916 of the family's 1533-position model. The record is from RNAcentral.